This 467-nucleotide ribosomal RNA is filed under the name uncultured bacterium. RNAcentral's name for it is "partial 16S ribosomal RNA". It matches the Rfam family "Bacterial small subunit ribosomal RNA", at positions 29 to 507 of the family's 1533-position model. The record is from RNAcentral.
ACGCACGCUGGCGGCGUGCUUAACACAUGCAAGUCGCACGGAAAGGCCCUGCUUUUGUGGGGUGCUCGAGUGGCGAACGGGUGAGUAACACGUGAGUAACCUGCCCUUGACUUUGGGAUAACUUCAGGAAACUGGGGCUAAUACCGGAUAGGAGCUCCUGCUGCAUGGUGGGGGUUGGAAAGUUUCGGCGGUUGGGGAUGGACUCGCGGCUUAUCAGCUUGUUGGUGGGGUAGUGGCUUACCAAGGCUUUGACGGGUAGCCGGCCUGAGAAGGUGACCGGCCACAUUGGGACUGAGAUACGGCCCAGACUCCUACGGGAGGCAGCAGUGGGGAAUAUUGCACAAUGGGCGGAAGCCUGAUGCAGCAACGCCGCGUGCGGGAUGACGGCCUUCGGGUUGUAAACCGCUUUCGCCUGUGACGAAGCGUGAGUGACGGUAAUGGGUAAAGAAGCACCGGCUAACUACGUG